GGUUACUGCUAUCGAGGUUCCACUAAGCCAUGCCAGACGAAUGUAUCAAUACCUGGCGUACUGCCCAGUAACUCAUAGACAACCUACCCUUAGGCCUGGGAUAACCCCGGGAAACUGGGAAUAAUACCGGAUAUCUCGCGAAUGCUGGAAUGCGUCGCGAUAGAAAGCUCCGGCGCCUAAGGAUGGGUCUGCGACCUAUCAGGUAGUAGUGGGUGUAACGUACCUACUAGCCUACGACGGGUACGGGUUGUGAGAGCAAGAGCCCGGAGAUGGAUUCUGAGACACGAAUCCAGGCCCUACGGGGUGCAGCAGGCGCGAAAACUUUACAAUGCUGGAAACAGCGAUAAGGGGACCUCGAGUGCCAGGAUACAAUCCUGGCUGUCGUAAUGCCUAAAAAGCAUUGCAUACAAGGGCCGGGCAAGACCGGUGCCAGCCGCCGCGGUAACACCGGCGGCUCGAGUGGUAACCGCUAUUAUUGGGUCUAAAGGGUCUGUAGCCGGCUGACUAAGUCUCUUGGGAAAUCUGACAGCUUAACUGUCAGGCUUUCAGGAGAUACUGAUCGGCUCGAGACCGGGAGAGGUGAGAGGUACCUCAGGGGUAGGGGUGAAAUCUUGUAAUCCUUGAGGGACCACCAGUGGCGAAGGCGUCUCACCAGAACGGAUCUGACGGCAAGGGACGAAAGCUAGGGGCACGAACCGGAUUAGAUACCCGGGUAGUCCUAGCCGGAAACGAUACUCGCUAGGUGUCGGCCACGGUGCGACCGUGGUCGGUGCCGUAGGGAAGCCGUGAAGCGAGCCACCUGGGAAGUACGGCCGCAAGGCUGAAACUUAA
Molecule: ribosomal RNA, 831 nt
Filed under: uncultured archaeon
Lineage: Archaea
Description: bacterial SSU rRNA
Rfam family: Archaeal small subunit ribosomal RNA
Source: RNAcentral